Molecule: long non-coding RNA, 742 nt
Filed under: Phoenix dactylifera (date palm)
Lineage: Eukaryota; Viridiplantae; Streptophyta; Magnoliopsida; Arecales; Arecaceae
Description: long non-coding RNA (PDAC_LNC018731)
Source: RNAcentral
AGGUGCACUAAGCUGGAGCCUGGCAUGUAUGCCUGCUGGGCUGUGUUCACCCAAUAUCAUUGAAUUUUGGUGAUGACAAGAAAAAUAUAAUAUUCCCAGGACAGUGUGAAAACAAGCAUCUUUUGCGAAAGGAAUUCCUGGGUUAUACCAAAAUGACUGAAAUUAGGGAAAGGUUCUUUUGAAGACAGCAGGUUCAUCCGGUGGGACUAAAUCAUUUGCAAUCCAGACUUAGCCUUCAAGCUUGCAGUAUGCAUAUCUUGGCACCCAUAUGUCACAUACUCUUGUAAGGAUAGUCUUUAAGAUUUAAAUAUUUUUUAUCAAGGACCUUUGCCGAUUUUGAACACAUUGUGGGAAUCAAAAUCUUUAGGUAAAUGAGAUUUUAGUUUAUGAAUCUUUCUGGGUUUUAGUUUGUUAAAGAUUUAUGUAAGCUGCCAAGGAUAUUAAGCAGAUUUUGAAGUCUUCCAUCAAUCUUAAUACUAUUGAAUUUUUUAGUUGGUCGAAGCGGCUCAUUCUUUUCUUUUUCCCUCUCCAGUAUUUGAUAUCUCAUCUUCUUAUCUUUGCCCUAGGUGCUCUUUGCAAGUCUCAUUGCAUCAACAAGCCAACCGCUUGUAAUCAAGAGUGAUUUGGCACAGUUCUUUCUGUUGUUCUACCAGCUUAAAAGCAGUUGACAGGAUUUUGUCAUAUUCAAGGAAAGUCAGUUCUCUUCCCAAUCUUCUCCAGUGUUACUAUAGACAACCAGCUU